This 449-nucleotide ribosomal RNA is filed under the name uncultured bacterium. Its description in RNAcentral is "bacterial SSU rRNA". It matches the Rfam family "Bacterial small subunit ribosomal RNA", at positions 329 to 793 of the family's 1533-position model. The record is from RNAcentral.
CGCCAGACUCCUACGGGAGGCAGCAGUGGGGAAUAUUGGGCAAUGGGCGCAAGCCUGACCCAGCAACGCCGCGUGAAGGAAGAAGGCUUUCGGGUUGUAAACUUCUUUUGACAGGGAAGAGCAGAAGACGAUACCUGUCGAAUAAGCCACGGCUAACUACGUGCCAGCAGCCGCGGUAAUACGUAGGAGGCAAGCGUUGUCCGGAUUUACUGGGUGUAAAGGGCGUGUAGCCGGGCUUACAAGUCAGAUGUGAAAUCCGGGGGCUCAACCCCCGAACUGCAUUUGAAACUGUAGGUCUGGAGUAUCGGAGAGGCAGGCGGAAUUCCUAGUGUAGCGGUGAAAUGCGUGGAUAUUAGGAGGAACACCAGUGGCGAAGGCGGCCUGCUGGACGACAACUGACGGUGAGGCGCGAAAGCGUGGGGAGCAAACAGGAUUAGAUACCCGCGUAU